GACGAACCGUGCGAACGUUGUUCGGAAUCACUGGGCUUAAAGGGCGCGUAGGCGGGCCCUCAAGUCAGGGGUGAAAGCCCACGGCCCAACCGUGGAAGUGCCUCUGAUACUGGGGGUCUGGAGGGGGAUAGGGGCGUGCGGAACUUGGGGUGGAGCGGUGAAAUGCGUAGAUAUCCCAAGGAACACCGGUGGCGAAGGCGGCACGCUGGGUCCCUGCUGACGCUGAGGCGCGAAAGCCAGGGGAGCGAACGGG
This 253-nucleotide ribosomal RNA is filed under the name uncultured bacterium. Its description in RNAcentral is "partial 16S ribosomal RNA". It matches the Rfam family "Bacterial small subunit ribosomal RNA", at positions 524 to 776 of the family's 1533-position model. The record is from RNAcentral.